This 488-nucleotide ribosomal RNA is filed under the name uncultured bacterium. RNAcentral describes it as "bacterial SSU rRNA". It matches the Rfam family "Bacterial small subunit ribosomal RNA", at positions 29 to 507 of the family's 1533-position model. The record is from RNAcentral.
AUGAACGCUGGCUACAGGCCUAACACAUGCAAGUCAGGGGCAGCAUGGACUUAGCUUGCUAAGUCUGAUGGCGACCGGCGCACGGGUGAGUAACGCGUAUCCAACCUGCCCAUGACUUGGGGAUAACCUUGCGAAAGCAAGCCUAAUACCCGAUACGCUUCAUAGAUGGCAUCUGAAAUGAAUUAAAGAUUUAUCGGUGAUGGAUGGGGAUGCGUCUGAUUAGCUUGUUGGCGGGGUAACGGCCCACCAAGGCAACGAUCAGUAGGGGUUCUGAGAGGAAGGUCCCCCACAUUGGAACUGAGACACGGUCCAAACUCCUACGGGAGGCAGCAGUGAGGAAUAUUGGUCAAUGGGCGAGAGCCUGAACCAGCCAAGUAGCGUGCAGGACGACGGCCCUAUGGGUUGUAAACUGCUUUUAUAAGGGAAUAAAGUGAGUCUCGUGAGACUUUUUGCAUGUACCUUAUGAAUAAGGACCGGCUAAUUCCGUG